CUCAUGACUGCUGUGGAAAGAGUAGAACCCUUACUACUACUUGAACUAUUGUCCUGGCAGUGACUGAGAGAGGGGUGCCGCCAUCCCCCCUCCCUCAAAUCAUAUGUACAUGAUGUAUACAAAUCUGCCUAAGUUCAUAAACAAAUAAACAAAAGCAACCCCCAAAGAUAAUAUAUAUGUAUAAAUGAAGCUUGUUACGGUCCAUUUCUCUUAAAUAAAAAAUGCAUAAAUAAAAUUAAAGUAUUAUCCUUAUCUAAAAAAAAAAGUAUAUGUAAUGACACCAAUUUUUUAUCUCUUCAAUUUGUUUUCCCAUUAAAAUAUGUGUAAUACUAAAUAAAAUAAAGUUUUUCUCCAACCUUCUAUCUUCUUCCCUUUUUUUCAUAAAGUGAUGUCAAAUCUUGGAGAAUUAGUGAAGGAUAAAUAAUAUGAACAAAAUAACAUUUAUUAACUUCAUUUAACUUCACUGAUAAUUUUCUUUUGGCCCCUCUUUUCUUCAGAAGAUAAAGGGAAAUAACAAUGACAUUUAGCCCCUUCUUACAAAAAAACCUAGCUCAGCCACUAACUCCAGGGAGGCACAUAUACCCUUCUUAAAAAAGAAUUAUUUGUAGAACUCAAACCUGAAGUAGGAAGAAUGCUUUUCUCAAUACAAGGCUUCCAACUUUGAUUCAAUUUCGGCCACGCUUCCAUUAACUACAUGAUUUCCAAAAGGUGUAUUAUCAGUUAGUCUAGUUUAAUCAUCCAUGUGCAUUGACUGAAGAAAGAAACUAUGGAAAGAUAAACACGUUCUUCUGAAAAGAAGUACAUGCCUAACAAAUUAAGAACACUCCUUUGAGCUUCUAAUGGUUUUUUGAUGACCCCAAUGGGGUUUGUAACCCUUGAACCCCUAUCCCCUCAGUAGAUAGGAAACAUUCUUCCCAACUGUUUCAGCAGGGUUAUGCAUUUACAGUUGACAUAACUGUAAACCUUAUCCAGAUAUUUUCAAUAUGACACUACACCUUUAUUUAGUGAUCGGUAGACAUCUAUAAGAUGGUCCAAGUAAAUAGUAG
RNAcentral lists this long non-coding RNA (1046 nucleotides) under Carica papaya (papaya). RNAcentral's name for it is "long non-coding RNA (CPAP_LNC014044)". The record is from RNAcentral. Lineage: Eukaryota; Viridiplantae; Streptophyta; Magnoliopsida; Brassicales; Caricaceae.